GACGGGGGGUCCUAGCGUUGUUCGGAAUCAUUGGGCGUAAAGCGUGUGCAGGUGGCUUUGUAAGUUAGAUGUGAAAGCCCCGGGCUUAACCCGGGAAGUGCAUUUAAAACUGCAAAACUUGAGUAUGGAAGAGGGUCGUGGAAUUCCAGGUGUAGUGGUGAAAUACGUAGAUAUCUGGAGGAACACCGGCGGCGAAGGCGGCGACCUGGUCCUAUACUGACACUCAUACACGAAAGCGUGGGGAUCAAACAGG
Molecule: ribosomal RNA, 253 nt
Filed under: uncultured bacterium
Lineage: Bacteria
Description: partial 16S ribosomal RNA
Rfam family: Bacterial small subunit ribosomal RNA
Source: RNAcentral